This 412-nucleotide ribosomal RNA is filed under the name uncultured bacterium. Its description in RNAcentral is "bacterial SSU rRNA". It matches the Rfam family "Bacterial small subunit ribosomal RNA", at positions 630 to 1042 of the family's 1533-position model. The record is from RNAcentral.
AUACGGGCAAACUAGAGGAAUGCAGGGGAGAAUGGAAUUCCUGGUGGAGCGGUGGAAUGCGCAGAUAUCAGGAGGAACACCAGUGGCGAAGGCGGUUCUCUGGGCAUUUCCUGACGCUGAGAAGCGAAAGCGUGGGGAGCAAACAGGCUUAGAUACCCUGGUAGUCCACGCCGUAAACGGUGGGCACUAGGUGUGGGACUCAUUCCACGAGUUCCGUGCCGUAGCUAACGCAUUAAGUGCCCCGCCUGGGGAGUACGGCCGCAAGGCUAAAACUCAAAGGAAUUGACGGGGGCCCGCACAAGCGGCGGAGCAUGCGGAUUAAUUCGAUGCAACGCGAAGAACCUUACCUGGGUUUGACAUAUGCCGGAAAGCUGCAGAGAUGUAGCCCCCGCAAGGUCGGUAUACAGGUGGG